GGGUUGUGAGGUUAAGCGACUAAGCGUACACGGUGGAUGCCCUGGCAGUCAGAGGCGAUGAAGGGCGUGCUAAUCUGCGAUAAGCGCCGGUAAGGUGAUAUGAACCGUUAUAACCGGCGAUACCCGAAUGGGGAAACCCAGUGUGACUCGUCACACUAUCAUUAACUGAAUCCAUAGGUUAAUGAGGCGAACCGGGGGAACUGAAACAUCUAAGUACCCCGAGGAAAAGAAAUCAACCGAGAUUCCCCCAGUAGCGGCGAGCGAACGGGGAGGAGCCCAGAGCCUGAAUCAGCAUGUGUGUUAGUGGAAGCGUCUGGAAAGGCGCGCGAUACAGGGUGACAGCCCCGUACACAAAAGCGCAUGUGCUGUGAGCUCGAUGAGUAGGGCGGGACACGUGGUAUCCUGUCUGAAUAUGGGGGGACCAUCCUCCAAGGCUAAAUACUCCUGACUGACCGAUAGUGAACCAGUACCGUGAGGGAAAGGCGAAAAGAACCCCGGCGAGGGGAGUGAAAAAGAACCUGAAACCGUGUACGUACAAGCAGUGGGAGCACCCUUUGGGGUGUGACUGCGUACCUUUUGUAUAAUGGGUCAGCGACUUAUAUUCUGUAGCAAGGUUAACCGAAUAGGGGAGCCGGAGGGAAACCGAGUCUUAAUUGGGCGUUAAGUUGCAGGGUAUAGACCCGAAACCCGGUGAUCUAGCCAUGGGCAGGUUGAAGGUUGGGUAACACUAACUGGAGGACCGAACCGACUAAUGUUGAAAAAUUAGCGGAUGACCUGUGGCUGGGGGUGAAAGGCCAAUCAAACCGGGAGAUAGCUGGUUCUCCCCGAAAGCUAUUUAGGUAGCGCCUCGUGAAUUCAUCUCCGGGGGUAGAGCACUGUUUCGGCUAGGGGGCCAUCCCGGCUUACCAACCCGAUGCAAACUGCGAAUACCGGAGAAUGUUAUCACGGGAGACACACGGCGGGUGCUAACGUCCGUCGUGAAGAGGGAAACAACCCAGACCGCCAGCUAAGGUCCCAAAGUCAUGGUUAAGUGGGAAACGAUGUGGGAAGGCCCAGACAGCCAGGAUGUUGGCUUAGAAGCAGCCAUCAUUUAAAGAAAGCGUAAUAGCUCACUGGUCGAGUCGGCCUGCGCGGAAGAUGUAACGGGGCUAAACCAUGCACCGAAGCUGCGGCAGCGAACGUAUCACCCAAGACAACUUUACGGAGUUGACGAUUGACGGAGCGAAGCGACGUCAAAGCGUUCAUUAAAGUCGAGUUGGCUUAGGGAUACGUUCGUUGGGUAGGGGAGCGUUCUGUAAGCCUGUGAAGGUGGCCUGUGAGGGUUGCUGGAGGUAUCAGAAGUGCGAAUGCUGACAUAAGUAACGAUAAAGCGGGUGAAAAGCCCGCUCGCCGGAAGACCAAGGGUUCCUGUCCAACGUUAAUCGGGGCAGGGUGAGUCGACCCCUAAGGCGAGGCCGAAAGGCGUAGUCGAUGGGAAACGGGUUAAUAUUCCCGUACUUGGUGUUACUGCGAAGGGGGGACGGAGAAGGCUAUGUUGGCCGGGCGACGGUUGUCCCGGUUUAAGCGUGUAGGUGUGUGUUCCAGGUAAAUCCGGUUCACUUUAACACUGAGGCGUGACGACGAGGCACUACGGUGCUGAAGCAACAAAUGCCCUGCUUCCAGGAAAAGCCUCUAAGCAUCAGGUAACAUCAAAUCGUACCCCAAACCGACACAGGUGGUCAGGUAGAGAAUACCAAGGCGCUUGAGAGAACUCGGGUGAAGGAACUAGGCAAAAUGGUGCCGUAACUUCGGGAGAAGGCACGCUGACACGUAGGUGAAGUGAUUUACUCAUGGAGCUGAAGUCAGUCGAAGAUACCAGCUGGCUGCAACUGUUUAUUAAAAACACAGCACUGUGCAAACACGAAAGUGGACGUAUACGGUGUGACGCCUGCCCGGUGCCGGAAGGUUAAUUGAUGGGGUCAGCGCAAGCGAAGCUCCUGAUCGAAGCCCCGGUAAACGGCGGCCGUAACUAUAACGGUCCUAAGGUAGCGAAAUUCCUUGUCGGGUAAGUUCCGACCUGCACGAAUGGCGUAAUGAUGGCCAGGCUGUCUCCACCCGAGACUCAGUGAAAUUGAACUCGCUGUGAAGAUGCAGUGUACCCGCGGCAAGACGGAAAGACCCCGUGAACCUUUACUAUAGCUUGACACUGAACAUUGAGCCUUGAUGUGUAGGAUAGGUGGGAGGCUUUGAAGUGUGGACGCCAGUCUGCAUGGAGCCGACCUUGAAAUACCACCCUUUAAUGUUUGAUGUUCUAACGUGGACCCGUAAUCCGGGUUGCGGACAGUGUCUGGUGGGUAGUUUGACUGGGGCGGUCUCCUCCUAAAGAGUAACGGAGGAGCACGAAGGUUGGCUAAUCCUGGUCGGACAUCAGGAGGUUAGUGCAAUGGCAUAAGCCAGCUUGACUGCGAGCGUGACGGCGCGAGCAGGUGCGAAAGCAGGUCAUAGUGAUCCGGUGGUUCUGAAUGGAAGGGCCAUCGCUCAACGGAUAAAAGGUACUCCGGGGAUAACAGGCUGAUACCGCCCAAGAGUUCAUAUCGACGGCGGUGUUUGGCACCUCGAUGUCGGCUCAUCACAUCCUGGGGCUGAAGUAGGUCCCAAGGGUAUGGCUGUUCGCCAUUUAAAGUGGUACGCGAGCUGGGUUUAGAACGUCGUGAGACAGUUCGGUCCCUAUCUGCCGUGGGCGCUGGAGAACUGAGGGGGGCUGCUCCUAGUACGAGAGGACCGGAGUGGACGCAUCACUGGUGUUCGGGUUGUCAUGCCAAUGGCACUGCCCGGUAGCUAAAUGCGGAAGAGAUAAGUGCUGAAAGCAUCUAAGCACGAAACUUGCCCCGAGAUGAGUUCUCCCUGAGACUUUAGGUCUCCUGAAGGAACGUUGAAGACGACGACGUUGAUAGGCCGGGUGUGUAAGCGCAGCGAUGCGUUGAGCUAACCGGUACUAAUGAACCGUGAGGCUUAACCUUACAACGCCGAAG
Molecule: ribosomal RNA, 3011 nt
Filed under: Salmonella enterica
Lineage: Bacteria; Pseudomonadati; Pseudomonadota; Gammaproteobacteria; Enterobacterales; Enterobacteriaceae
Description: 23S ribosomal RNA
Rfam family: Bacterial large subunit ribosomal RNA
Source: RNAcentral